RNAcentral lists this ribosomal RNA (253 nucleotides) under uncultured bacterium. RNAcentral's name for it is "partial 16S ribosomal RNA". It matches the Rfam family "Bacterial small subunit ribosomal RNA", at positions 524 to 776 of the family's 1533-position model. The record is from RNAcentral.
UACGUAGGGUGCAAGCGUUGUCCGGAAUCAUUGGGCGUAAAGCGCGCGUAGGCGGCCCGAUAAGUCCGCUGUAAAAGUCAACGGCUCAACUGUUGAAAGCCGGUGGAUACUGUCGGGCUAGAGUACGGAAGAGGCAAGUGGAAUUCCGAGUGUAGAGGUGAGAUUCGUAGAUAUUCGGAGGAACACCAGUGGCGAAGGCGGCUCACUGGUCCAUUACUGACGCUGAGGUGCGAAAGCGUGGGGAGCAAACAGG